This 470-nucleotide ribosomal RNA is filed under the name uncultured bacterium. Its description in RNAcentral is "bacterial SSU rRNA". It matches the Rfam family "Bacterial small subunit ribosomal RNA", at positions 28 to 499 of the family's 1533-position model. The record is from RNAcentral.
GAUGAACGCUGGCGGCGUGCUUAACACAUGCAAGUCGAACGGGAAUUACUUUAUUGAAACUUCGGUCGAUUUAAUUUAAUUCUAGUGGCGGACGGGUGAGUAACGCGUGGGUAACCUGCCUUGUACAGGGGGAUAACAGUCAGAAAUGACUGUUAAUACCGCAUAAGCGCACAGGACCGCAUGGUCCGGUGUGAAAAACUCCGGUGGUAUAAGAUGGACCCGCGUUGGAUUAGCUUGUUGGUGGGGUAACGGCCCACCAAGGCGACGAUCCAUAGCCGGCCUGAGAGGGUGAACGGCCACAUUGGGACUGAGACACGGCCCAGACUCCUGCGGGAGGCAGCAGUGGGGAAUAUUGCACAAUGGGGGAAACCCUGAUGCAGCGACGCCGCGUGAAGGAAGAAGUAUCUCGGUAUGUAAACUUCUAUCAGCAGGGAAGAAAAUGACGGUACCUGACUAAGAAGCCCCGGCUA